Molecule: ribosomal RNA, 440 nt
Filed under: uncultured bacterium
Lineage: Bacteria
Description: partial 16S ribosomal RNA
Rfam family: Bacterial small subunit ribosomal RNA
Source: RNAcentral
CCUACGGGAGGCAGCAGUGGGGAAUAUUGCACAAUGGGGGAAACCCUGAUGCAGCGACGCCGCGUGAGUGAAGAAGGAAUUCGUUAUGUAAAGCUCUAUCAGGAGGGAAGAAAAUGACGGUACCUGAGUAAGAAGCCCCGGCUAACUACGUGCCAGCAGCCGCGGUAAUACGUAGGGGGCAAGCGUUAUCCGGAUUUACUGGGUGUAAAGGGAGCGUAGACGGGAGUGCAAGUCUGGAGUGAAAGGCGGGGGCUCAACCCCCGGACUGCUCUUGAAACUGUACGGCUUGAGUGCAGGAGGGGUAAGUGGAAUUCCUGGUGUAGCGGUGAAAUGCGUAGAUAUUAGGAGGAACACCAGUGGCGAAGGCAGCUUACUGGACUGUAACUGACGUUGAGGCUCGAAAGUGUGGGGAGCAAACAGGAUUAGAUACCCGUGUAGUC